UGGGGAAUAUUGCACAAUGGGCGCAAGCCUGAUGCAGCCAUGCCGCGUGUGUGAAGAAGGCCUUCGGGUUGUAAAGCACUUUCAGCGAGGAGGAAGGUGGUGAACUUAAUACGUUCAUCAAUUGACGUUACUCGCAGAAGAAGCACCGGCUAACUCCGUGCCAGCAGCCGCGGUAAUACGGAGGGUGCAAGCGUUAAUCGGAAUUACUGGGCGUAAAGCGCACGCAGGCGGUUUGUUAAGUCAGAUGUGAAAUCCCCGGGCUCAACCUGGGAACUGCAUUUGAAACUGGCAAGCUAGAGUCUCGUAGAGGGGGGUAGAAUUCCAGGUGGUAGCGGUGAAAUGCGUAGAGAUCUGGAAGGAAUACCGGUGGCGAAGGCGGCCCCCUGGACGAAGACUGACGCUCAGGUGCGAAAGCGUGGGAGCAAACAGGAUUAGAUACCCUGGUAGUCCACGCUGUAAACGAUGUCGAUUUUGGAGGUUGUGCCCUUGAGGCGUGGCUUCCGGAGCUAACGCGUUAAAUCGACCGCCUGGGGAGUACGGCCGCAAGGUUAAAACUUAAAUGAAUUGA
Molecule: ribosomal RNA, 568 nt
Filed under: uncultured bacterium
Lineage: Bacteria
Description: partial 16S ribosomal RNA
Rfam family: Bacterial small subunit ribosomal RNA
Source: RNAcentral